This 462-nucleotide ribosomal RNA is filed under the name uncultured bacterium. RNAcentral describes it as "partial 16S ribosomal RNA". It matches the Rfam family "Bacterial small subunit ribosomal RNA", at positions 28 to 506 of the family's 1533-position model. The record is from RNAcentral.
GACGAACGCUGGCGGCGUGCUUAACACAUGCAAGUCGAACGGUGAACCUCUUCGGAGGGGAUCAGUGGCGAACGGGUGAGUAACACGUGGGCAACCUGCCCCCGGCUCUGGGAUAACUCCAAGAAAUUGGGGCUAAUACCGGAUGUUCACCGCUUCCCGCAUGGGUGGUGGUGGAAAGGGUUUCCGGCUGGGGAUGGGCCCGCGGCCUAUCAGCUUGUUGGUGGGGUAGUGGCCUACCAAGGCGACGACGGGUAGCCGGCCUGAGAGGGUGACCGGCCACACUGGGACUGGGACACGGCCCAGACUCCUACGGGAGGCAGGGGUGGGGAAUAUUGCGCAAUGGGCGGAGGCCGGACGCAGCGACGCCGCGUGGGGGAUGACGGCCUUCGGGUUGUAAACCUCUUUCAGCAGGGACGAAGCGCAAGUGACGGUACCUGCAGAAGAAGCACCGGCAAACUACGU